AACGGAGGGUCCAAGCGUUAUCCGGAAUCAUUGGGUUUAAAGGGUCCGUAGGCGGUUUUGUAAGUCAGUGGUGAAAGCCCAUCGCUCAACGGUGGAACGGCCAUUGAUACUGCAAGACUUGAAUUAUUAGGAAGUAACUAGAAUAUGUAGUGUAGCGGUGAAAUGCUUAGAGAUUACAUGGAAUACCAAUUGCGAAGGCAGGUUACUACUAAUGGAUUGACGCUGAUGGACGAAAGCGUGGGUAGCGAACAGG
RNAcentral lists this ribosomal RNA (253 nucleotides) under uncultured bacterium. RNAcentral describes it as "partial 16S ribosomal RNA". It matches the Rfam family "Bacterial small subunit ribosomal RNA", at positions 524 to 776 of the family's 1533-position model. The record is from RNAcentral.